CCACAGCUGGUAGAUCUGAUUUCAAUUACACUGAACCAUCAUCAUCAGUGGAACCUUGUAUUAUUCAAGAGAAGAUUAAGUCAACAGGUGCUAGUGUUGAGCCUUCAGUACAAAGUGCUGGUACUGUUCCACAGGCAACAGGUGCAGACGUGGAAAGAACUACUUUUUAUGGAGAAUAUAUGAAACAAGAUAGGAUCUAUAUUGAGAAGCGCUUUCUCAAUUUCAAGAAUGAUCAGCCAUGCUGUUGCCAAAAGAAGGAGAGAUUUUCUCAGGGUGUUGCUU
This 282-nucleotide unclassified non-coding RNA is filed under the name Hevea brasiliensis (rubber tree). The record is from RNAcentral. Lineage: Eukaryota; Viridiplantae; Streptophyta; Magnoliopsida; Malpighiales; Euphorbiaceae.